CAGCCGCCGCGGUAAUACAGAGGGUGCAAGCGUUAAUCGGAACUACUGGGCGUAAAGCGCGCGUAGGUGGUUCGCCAAGUUGGAUGUGAAAUCCCCGGGCUCAACCUGGGAACUGCAUCCAAAACUGGCGAGCUAGAGUAUGGUAGAGGGUGGUGGAAUUUCCUGUGUAGCGGUGAAAUGCGUAGAUAUAGGAAGGAACAUCAGUGGCGAAGGCGACCACCUGGACUGAUACUGACACUGGGGUGCGAAAGCGUGGGGAGCAAACAGGAUUAGAUACCCCUGUAGUCCCUGUCUCUUAUAA
Molecule: ribosomal RNA, 301 nt
Filed under: uncultured bacterium
Lineage: Bacteria
Description: partial 16S ribosomal RNA
Rfam family: Bacterial small subunit ribosomal RNA
Source: RNAcentral